Molecule: ribosomal RNA, 373 nt
Filed under: uncultured bacterium
Lineage: Bacteria
Description: bacterial SSU rRNA
Rfam family: Bacterial small subunit ribosomal RNA
Source: RNAcentral
ACGUAGGUGGCGAGCGUUGUCCGGAAUUACUGGGUGUAAAGGGCGUGUAGGCGGGAUUUUAAGUCAGAUGUGAAAUUCUUGGGCUCAACCCAAGCGCUGCAUCUGAAACUGAGAUUCUUGAGUGCUGGAGAGGAUAGUGGAAUUCCUAGUGUAGCGGUGAAAUGCGUAGAUAUUAGGAGGAACACCAGUGGCGAAGGCGGCUAUCUGGACAGUAACUGACGCUGAGGCGCGAAAGCGUGGGGAGCAAACAGGAUUAGAUACCCUGGUAGUCCACGCUGUAAACGAUGGAUACUAGGUGUAGGAGGUAUCGACCCCUUCUGUGCCGGAGUUAACACAAUAAGUAUCCCACCUGGGGAGUACGGCCGCAAGGUUG